Molecule: ribosomal RNA, 484 nt
Filed under: uncultured bacterium
Lineage: Bacteria
Description: partial 16S ribosomal RNA
Rfam family: Bacterial small subunit ribosomal RNA
Source: RNAcentral
AUUGAACGCUGGCGGCAUGCUUUACACAUGCAAGUCGAACGGCAGCGCGGGCUUCGGCCUGUCGGCGAGUGGCGAACGGGUGAGUAAUGCAUCGGAACGUGCCCAGUAGUGGGGGAUAGCCCGGCGAAAGCCGGAUUAAUACCGCAUACGACCUGAGGGUGAAAGCGGGGGACCGAAAGGCCUCGCGCUAUUGGAGCGGCCGAUGUCGGAUUAGCUAGUUGGUGGGGUAAAGGCUUACCAAGGCGACGAUCCGUAGCUGGUCUGAGAGGACGACCAGCCACACUGGGACUGAGACACGGCCCAGACUCCUACGGGCGGCAGCAGUGGGGAAUUUUGGACAAUGGGGGCAACCCUGAUCCAGCCAUGCCGCGUGCGGGAAGAAGGCCUUCGGGUUGUAAACCGCUUUUGUUCGGGAAGAAAUCCUCUGGGCUAAUACCCCGGGGGGAUGACGGUACCGGAAGAAUAAGCACCGGCUAACUACGUG